AGGACGAACGCUGGCGGCGUGCUUAACACAUGCAAGUCGAGCGGUGAUCCUCCUUCGGGAGGUGAGCAGCGGCGAACGGGUGAGUAACACGUGGGCAACCUGCCCCUCACACUGGGAUAACCUCGGGAAACCGGGGCUAAUACCGGAUAUGACCUCGAGCGGCAUCUCUUGAGGUGGAAAGCUCCGACGGUGAGGGAUGGGCCCGCGGCCUAUCAGCUUGUUGGUGGGGUAAUGGCCUACCAAGGCGACGACGGGUAGCCGGCCUGAGAGGGCGACCGGCCACACUGGGACUGAGACACGGCCCAGACUCCUACGGGAGGCAGCAGUGGGGAAUAUUGCGCAAUGGGCGAAAGCCUGACGCAGCGACGCCGCGUGAGGGAUGAAGGCCUUCGGGUUGUAAACCCCUUUCAGCAGGGACGAAGCGAAAGUGACGGUACCUGCAGAAGAAGCGCCGGCUAACUACGUGCCAGCAGCCGCGGUAA
This 482-nucleotide ribosomal RNA is filed under the name uncultured bacterium. RNAcentral's name for it is "SSU rRNA". It matches the Rfam family "Bacterial small subunit ribosomal RNA", at positions 26 to 523 of the family's 1533-position model. The record is from RNAcentral.